Molecule: ribosomal RNA, 253 nt
Filed under: uncultured prokaryote
Description: partial 16S ribosomal RNA
Rfam family: Bacterial small subunit ribosomal RNA
Source: RNAcentral
UACGUAUGGGGCAAGCGUUAUCCGGAUUUACUGGGUGUAAAGGGAGUGUAGGCGGUACGGCAAGUCAGAAGUGAAAGCCUGGGGCUCAACCCCGGAAUUGCUUUUGAAACUGUCGAACUAGAGUGUCGGAGGGGUAAGCGGAAUUCCUAGUGUAGCGGUGAAAUGCGUAGAUAUUAGGAGGAACACCAGUGGCGAAGGCGGCUUACUGGACGACUACUGACGCUGAGGCUCGAAAGCGUGGGGAGCAAACAGG